This 245-nucleotide long non-coding RNA is filed under the name Elaeis guineensis (African oil palm). Its description in RNAcentral is "long non-coding RNA (EGUI_LNC053774)". The record is from RNAcentral. Lineage: Eukaryota; Viridiplantae; Streptophyta; Magnoliopsida; Arecales; Arecaceae.
AUACAUAGACCAGCUAAUCUCAAUCCUCCUACUAAAUUCACCAUAUCAGAUCUGGUGGACUAGAAAUAAGUCGGUCCAACUGACAAGUCAUCAAUCCUCCCACUGACUUCAACAAGUCAUGUCGAGGAUAAAGACAAGUCAAACUAAGGACACCUAAAUCAGUUAAACUGAUUUUUUUAGUAAACAUGGGUCAACCCUAAUCAUUAAGCAAUUUGAUUAAAACUUGAUUCACCAUGUUGGUCAGA